AUGCAAGUCGAACGAGAGAAGAGAAGCUUGCUUUUCUGAUCUAGUGGCGGACGGGUGAGUAACACGUGAGCAAUCUGCCUUUCAGAGGGGGAUACCGAUUGGAAACGAUCGUUAAUACCGCAUAAUAUAAUUGAACCGCAUGAUUUGAUUAUCAAAGAUUUAUCGCUGAAAGAUGAGCUCGCGUCUGAUUAGCUAGUUGGUAAGGUAACGGCUUACCAAGGCGACGAUCAGUAGCCGGACUGAGAGGUUGAUCGGCCACAUUGGGACUGAGACACGGCCCAGACUCCUACGGGAGGCAGCAGUGGGGAAUAUUGCACAAUGGAGGAAACUCUGAUGCAGCGAUGCCGCGUGAGGGAAGAAGGUUUUAGGAUUGUAAACCUCUGUCUUCAGGGACGAAAAAAGACGGUACCUAAGGAGGAAGCUCCGGCUAACUACGUGCCAGCAGCCGCGGUAAUAC
Molecule: ribosomal RNA, 457 nt
Filed under: uncultured bacterium
Lineage: Bacteria
Description: bacterial SSU rRNA
Rfam family: Bacterial small subunit ribosomal RNA
Source: RNAcentral